AUGAAGCUCUCCCUGGUGGCCGCGAUGCUGCUGCUGCUCAGCGUGGCGCGGGCCAAGGAGGAGGACGUGGGUACGGUGGUUGGCAUCCAUCUGGGGACCACCUACUUCUGUGUAGGCGUGUUCAAGAACAGCUGCGUGGAGAUCAUUACCAACGAUCAGGGCAACCGCAUCACGCCGUCCUAUGUGGCCUUCACUCCUGAAGGGAAAUGUCUGAUCAGCGUUGCAGCCAAGAACCAGCUCAUCUCCAACCCCGAGAACACGCUCUUUGACGCCAAGCAGCUCAUCGGCCGCAGGUGGCAUGACCCGUCUCUGCAGCAGGACAUCAACUUCUUGCCAUUCAAGGUGGUUGAAAAGAAAACUAAACCAUACAUUCAAAUUGAUAUUGGAGGUGGGCAAACAAAGACAUUUGCUCCUGAAGAAAUUUCUGCAAUGGUUCUCACUAAAAUGAAAGAAAACGCUGAGGCUUAUUUGGGAAAGAAGGUUACCCAUGCAGUUGUUACUAUACCAGCCUAUUUCAAUGAUGCCCAAUGCCAAGCAACCAAGGACUCUGGAACUAUUGCUGACCUAAAUGCUAUGAGGAUCAUCAAUGAGCCUACAGCAGCAGCUACUGCUUAUGGCCUGGAUAAGAGGGAGGGGGAGAAGAACAUCCUGGUGUUUGACCUGGGUGGUGAAACCUUCUAUGUGUUUCUUCUCACCAUUGACAAUGGUGUCUUCAAAGUUGUGGCCACUAAUGGAGAUACUCAUCUGGGUGGAGAAGACUUUGACCAGCGUGUCAUGGAACACUUCAUCAAACUGUACAAAAAGAAGACUGGCAAAGACGUCAGGAAAGACAAUAGAGCUGUGCAGAAACUCCGGCACAAGGUAGAAAAGGCCAAACGGGUCCUGUCUUCUCAACAUCAAGCAAGCAAUAAUUGAAACUGAGUCCUUCUAUGAAGGAGAAGACUUUUCUGAGACCCUGACUCGGGCCAAAUUUGAAGAGCUCAACUGGAUCUGUUCCGGUCUACUAUGAAGCCUAUCCAGAAAGUGUUGGAAGACCCUGAUUUGAAGAAGUCUGACAUUGAUGAAACUGUUCUUGUUGGUGGCUUUACUCAAAUUCCAAAGAUUCAGCAACUGGUUAAAGAGUUCUUCAAUGGCAAGGAACCAUCCCAUGGCAUAAGCCCAUAUGAAGCUGUAGCAUAUGGUGCUGCUGUCCAGGCUGGUGUGCUCUCUGGUGAUCAAGAUACAGAUGACCUGGUACUGCUUGAUAUAUGUCCCCUUACACUUGGUAUUGAAACUGUGGGAGGUGUCAUGACCAAACUGAUUCCAAGGAACACAGUGGUGCCAACCAAGAAGUCUCAGAUCUUUUCUACAGCUUCUGAUAAUCAACCAACUGUUACAAUCAAGAUCUAUGAAGGUGAACAACCCCUGACAAAAGACAAUCAUCUUCUGGGUACAUUUGAUCUGACUAGAAUUCCUCCUGCUCCUCGUGGGGUCCCACGGAUUGAAGUCACCUUUGAGAUGGAUGUGAAUGGUAUUCUUCGAGUGACAGCCGAAGACAAGGGUACAAGGAACAAAAAUAAGAUCACAAUUACCAAUGACCAGAAUCGCCUGACACCUGAAGAAAUCGAAAGGAUGGUUAAUGAUGCUGAGAAGUUUGCUGAGGAAGACAAAAAGCUCAAGGAGUGCAUUGAUACUAGAAAUGAGUUGGAAAGCUAUGCCUGUUCUCUAAAGAAUCAGAUUGGAGAUAAAGAAAAGCUGGGAGGUAAACUUUCCUCUGAAGAUAAGGAGACACGGAAAAAGCUGUAGAAGAAAAGACUGAAUGGCUGGGAAGCCACCAAGAUGCUGACACUGAAGACUUCAAAGCUAAGAAGAAGGAACUGGAAGAAAUUGUUCAACCAAUUAUCAGCAAACUCCAUGGAAGUGCAGGCCCUCCCCCAGCUGGGGAAGAGGAUACAGCGGAAAAAGAUGAGCUGUAG
This is an RNA transcript of Nomascus leucogenys (northern white-cheeked gibbon), 1955 nucleotides long. It is a transcript of the gene named endoplasmic reticulum chaperone BiP pseudogene, with no coding region annotated. The transcript has a single exon. The record is from RefSeq and is a predicted model, not a curated record. Lineage: Eukaryota; Metazoa; Chordata; Mammalia; Primates; Hylobatidae.